GAAGUCGGAAUUGCUAGUAAUGGCAGGUCAGCAUACUGCCGUGAAUACGUUCCCGGGCCUUGUACACACCGCCCGUCACACCAUGAGAGUUGGGAAUACCCGAAGCCUGUGAGCCAACAAACGAGGCAGCAGUCGAAGGUAGAAUCAAUGAUUGGGGUGAAGUCGUAACAAGGUAUC
This 177-nucleotide ribosomal RNA is filed under the name uncultured bacterium. Its description in RNAcentral is "partial 16S ribosomal RNA". It matches the Rfam family "Bacterial small subunit ribosomal RNA", at positions 1322 to 1500 of the family's 1533-position model. The record is from RNAcentral.